CAGAUGUUGUAAUGUGAACUUCAUUGGACUGUAAAGGGGCACAGGGACCUAAUCUGAGAGAAAUAUGGAGGUAGUUCAGAUGUGGAACUAUGCAGGUCUUCAGAGCAAUUUCUUCAGUGACACUUCUUCCAUAGGUUAAUGGAAGCCAUGCUGCCCAGGAGCUAUAGGAGGCCAGGCAAAGGUCUUGCUCUUUGCUUACAAGGAAGGCAUACUACAGAGGGUGCCAACCAGGUAGAUAGCAAAGUAUGA
RNAcentral lists this long non-coding RNA (249 nucleotides) under Phasianus colchicus (ring-necked pheasant). Its description in RNAcentral is "lncRNA (ENSPCLG00000003764.1)". Lineage: Eukaryota; Metazoa; Chordata; Aves; Galliformes; Phasianidae. The record is from RNAcentral.